GAUGAACGCUGGCGGCGUGCCUAAUACAUGCAAGUCGAGCGAACAGACGAGGAGCUUGCUCCUCUGACGUUAGCGGCGGACGGGUGAGUAACACGUGGAUAACCUACCUAUAAGACUGGGAUAACUUCGGGAAACCGGAGCUAAUACCGGAUAAUAUAUUGAACCGCAUGGUUCAAUAGUGAAAGACGGUUUUGCUGUCACUUAUAGAUGGAUCCGCGCCGCAUUAGCUAGUUGGUAAGGUAACGGCUUACCAAGGCAACGAUGCGUAGCCGACCUGAGAGGGUGAUCGGCCACACUGGAACUGAGACACGGUCCAGACUCCUACGGGAGGCAGCAGUAGGGAAUCUUCCGCAAUGGGCGAAAGCCUGACGGAGUAACGCCGCGUGAGUGAUGAAGGUCUUCGGAUCGUAAAACUCUGUUAUUAGGGAAGAACAAAUGUGUAAGUAACUAUGCACGUCUUGACGGUACCUAAUCAGAAAGCCACGGCUAACUACGU
This 496-nucleotide ribosomal RNA is filed under the name uncultured bacterium. RNAcentral describes it as "partial 16S ribosomal RNA". It matches the Rfam family "Bacterial small subunit ribosomal RNA", at positions 28 to 506 of the family's 1533-position model. The record is from RNAcentral.